This 450-nucleotide ribosomal RNA is filed under the name uncultured bacterium. RNAcentral describes it as "SSU rRNA". It matches the Rfam family "Bacterial small subunit ribosomal RNA", at positions 26 to 518 of the family's 1533-position model. The record is from RNAcentral.
AGGAUGAACGCUGGCGGUGUGCCUAAUACAUGCAAGUCGAACGAAGCCUUCGGGCUUAGUGGCGGACGGGUGAGUAACACGUUGGUACCUACCCCGAAGUGGGGAAUAACUGCCCGAAAGGGUGGCUAAUACCGCAUAAUACCGCAAGGUUAAAGCGAGUAAUCGCGCUUCGGGAGGGGCCUGCGUCCCAUUAGCUAGUUGGUAGGGUAAUGGCCUACCAAGGCGACGAUGGGUAGCUGGAUCGAGAGGUUGACCAGCCACACUGGGACUGAGAUACGGCCCAGACUCCUACGGGAGGCAGCAGUAAGGAAUCUUCCACAAUGGACGAAAGUCUGAUGGAGCAACGACCGCGUGCAGGAUGACGGCCUUCGGUUGUAAACUGCUUUUAUAUGGGAAGAUUAUGACGGUACCAUAUGAAUAAGGACCGGCUAACUACGCGCCAGCAGCCGC